This 460-nucleotide ribosomal RNA is filed under the name uncultured bacterium. Its description in RNAcentral is "partial 16S ribosomal RNA". It matches the Rfam family "Bacterial small subunit ribosomal RNA", at positions 338 to 795 of the family's 1533-position model. The record is from RNAcentral.
CCUACGGGAGGCAGCAGUGAGGAAUAUUGGUCAAUGGACGAGAGCCUGAACCAGCCAAGUAGCGUGAGGGAUGACUGCCCUAUGGGUUGUAAACCUCUUUUAUAUGGGAAUAAAAUGCUCCACGUGUGGGUUUUUGUCUGUACCAUACGAAUAAGGAUCGGCUAACUCCGUGCCAGCAGCCGCGGUAAUACGGAAGGUCCGAGCGUUAUCCGGAUUUAUUGGGUUUAAAGGGAGCGUAGGCGGGUUGUUAAGUCAGUUGUGAAAUUAUGCGGCUCAACCGUAACAUUGCAGUUGAAACUGGCAGUCUUGAGUACAGAAGAGGUAGGCGGAAUUCGUGGUGUAGCGGUGAAAUGCUUAGAUAUCACGAAGAACUCCGAUUGCGAAGGCAGCUCACUGGACUGCGACUGACACUGAGGCUCGAAAGUGUGGGUAUCAAACAGGAUUAGAUACCCGAGUAGUC